CCUACGGGUGGCAGCAGUGGGGAAUAUUGGACAAUGGGGGCAACCCUGAUCCAGCCAUGCCGCGUGUGUGAAGAAGGCCCUCGGGUUGUAAAGCACUUUCAGUGAGGAAGAACGCCUGGUGGUUAAUACCCAUCAGGAAAGACAUCACUCACAGAAGAAGCACCGGCUAACUCCGUGCCAGCAGCCGCGGUAAUACGGAGGGUGCGAGCGUUAAUCGGAAUUACUGGGCGUAAAGCGCGCGUAGGUGGCUUGAUAAGCCGGUUGUGAAAGCCCCUGGCUCAACCUGGGAACGGCAUCCGGAACUGUCCAGCUAGAGUGCAGGAGAGGAAGGUAGAAUUCCCGGUGUAGCGGUGAAAUGCGUAGAGAUCGGGAGGAAUACCAGUGGCGAAGGCGGCCUUCUGGACUGACACUGACACUGAGGUGCGAAAGCGUGGGUAGCAAACAGGAUUAGAUACCCCAGUAGUC
RNAcentral lists this ribosomal RNA (465 nucleotides) under Vreelandella stevensii. RNAcentral's name for it is "partial 16S ribosomal RNA". It matches the Rfam family "Bacterial small subunit ribosomal RNA", at positions 338 to 795 of the family's 1533-position model. The record is from RNAcentral. Lineage: Bacteria; Pseudomonadati; Pseudomonadota; Gammaproteobacteria; Oceanospirillales; Halomonadaceae.